UACGGAGGAUGCGAGCGUUAUCCGUAUUUAUUGGGUUUAAAGGGUGCGUAGGCGGAGUGCCAAGUCAGCGGUAAAAAUUCGGGGCUCAACCCCGUCGUGCCGUUGAAACUGGCGCCCUUGAGUGGGCGAGAAGUAUGCGGAAUGCGUGGUGUAGCGGUGAAAUGCAUAGAUAUCACGCAGAACCCCGAUUGCGAAGGCAGCAUACCGGCGCCCGACUGACGCUGAAGCACGAAAGCGUGGGUAUCGAACAGG
RNAcentral lists this ribosomal RNA (252 nucleotides) under uncultured bacterium. Its description in RNAcentral is "partial 16S ribosomal RNA". It matches the Rfam family "Bacterial small subunit ribosomal RNA", at positions 524 to 776 of the family's 1533-position model. The record is from RNAcentral.